Molecule: microRNA precursor, 96 nt
Organism: Loxodonta africana (African savanna elephant)
Lineage: Eukaryota; Metazoa; Chordata; Mammalia; Proboscidea; Elephantidae
Gene: MIR592
Product: microRNA 592
Source: Ensembl
UGAUAUUAUGCUAUGACAUUGUGUCAAUAUGCGAUGAUGUGUUGUGAUGGCGCAGCGUCAUCACGUGGUGACGCAACAUCAUGACAUAAGACAUCA